Hydra vulgaris (swiftwater hydra) is the source of this 1299-nucleotide long non-coding RNA. RefSeq lists it as uncharacterized. Lineage: Eukaryota; Metazoa; Cnidaria; Hydrozoa; Anthoathecata; Hydridae. The record is from RefSeq and is a predicted model, not a curated record.
CUGAUCAGAAAAUUAAGAAAACUAGACAUAUUUGCCUGAAACUUGGCCGAUUGGGUUAAGUUUAGGCAUAAAAAGUCUGGAAAUUAAAAAAUUUAAACAAUUUCCUUGAAAUUUGGCCGAUUGGGAUAUAGUUUACGCAUAAAAUGUCUGGAAAAUAAUACUCUUAGCAUUUCUUUCUUCAAGUGUCUAAUUUAAGCUGUCUAAGAUUUUUGAUAAUUUGUGAAUUGCAUUAGAGAAAAGCGAUAAAGUUACAUUCGAAAAGAUAAACAAGAAGUAUUCCCUCCAAGUUGAUUCUUUAUGUUUUUUGCAUUCAUUAAUUAAUCAAGUUCAUCUUAAGUAUUUGCGCUGAAGCCUACUUAAACAAAACUGCAAAAUCGGAUAAAUUAGUACCUAUUCUGAAAAGCAGUUUGCUAAUUGAUUGUGUAUUUUUCUGUCAUACACCUUCAGUCGUUCUGCAUAAAAAAUCGUACACAUGAAUAGGAAGGAACCUUGACGUGGUUCAUGUGCUUUAAACAAAUACCUUCCAGACAGAUACAUUCUCACCCGUUGUACUGUGAGAGAUAAAUGGUUGACAUCGAGUACAUAAACCAUAUUAAGAAUAGCUAGUAUAGGUAUAAUUUUUUAUUAAAUUUUGCAUAUGUUUCAUGUAAAAGAUAAUGACCAGAAUCAAGUUUAUAUUUAUAAAAAAAAAUCCAAAAACAAUAAAAAAAACAAUAGUUUGGGAGGGAGCGAUUUUAAGUUAAUUUUUGCUUGAAUUUUAGACUUAUAUUGUCUUAACCAGUUUAGCAUUAAAAUUUUUUUUUGUUUUUGAAAAUGCGUUCUUAUUUUUUUAAAAGGCUGCAAACACCGAGUCUUAAUCACAAAAAAAAAUUCCAAAUAGUGCAAAUGGGGUGAAUACAUAGGGGGAGCCCCCCUGGUGUCAAAUAAAAACCUUUUGAAAAUAUAAAUCCGAGUUAGUAUAGAGUUGACAAAUAGUAAAUGGGGAAGGGAGGCUUAUUUGGUAUUAGAGAGUACCACUGUCUGGGAUGGAUUGUGUUAUAUCAAUCGUGGCUCAGUAGUUAGAGCAUUGGAUUCGUAAUCUAAGGGUUGCGAGUUCGAUCUCUACUCGAAGCACAUAAAGGUUAUCGGUAUAGUUGGAAACGGAGAGCCAAGUUACAAAUGUUAUUGUCUUUGUGGCGGUGCUCUGUGACAAGGCCAUUAGGACUUCUUAGAGCACCUUAAUAACAACAAAAAAAAAAUGGGGGUGGGGGGCGCUAAUAUUAAAAAAAAAUCGCCAAAGGAAAAAUAAAUCCUAGAUCC